RNAcentral lists this transfer RNA (67 nucleotides) under Mythimna loreyi. RNAcentral describes it as "tRNA-Glu". The record is from RNAcentral. Lineage: Eukaryota; Metazoa; Arthropoda; Insecta; Lepidoptera; Noctuidae.
AUUUAUAUAGUUUAAAUUAAAACUUUACAUUUUCAUUGUAAAAAUAAAAUAUCUAUUUUUAUAAAUA